CCGCCCCACGGUGAUCUAAAAAAGCCUCAAAUGUGAGAAAAGGAUUCGCAGCACAAGUAGAAGAUAUAAAAAUUCUUCAAUAUCCUGGUCAAACCUACAAAAUAAAGACAUGCAAUGUUACAAUUCACCAAGUGAAAGAAUAAACUAGUAAAAUGUCAAGUUUUGAGGGCGGCGGCAGCGGGCGGUAGAGGCCGCGGCAUGAGCAGGGAACGGCGGCGGGCUGCAGCUGGCGGAGGUAGAGGACGGCGACGUCAAAACGACGGUAUAAACGAUCAUUUUUAAUUGAUCGUUUAAAGAGGUAUAACAAUUCUUCAAUUUUUUGCAUGAAAUUAUAAUUUUAUUAUUUUAAGAACACUUAGGUCACUUUAAUUAUUAAAUUCAAAUAUUAGAACGAUGUUGUAUAGCAAUCUCCGUAAAAAACAACUCAAACAACAAAUUUUAACAACAUAAAAACUAAAGAUAACACAUACUCUAAAAUAAAAAAUGAGAAAAAUAAAAGAACAUAAGAAUGAACUUGUCGUUGGUAGCCAAAGCCGCCUACAUCUAUAGAUCUAACAAUUUAAGAAAUGAAAUCGGACCUGUAAGAUCAAACGAAGGAGAUUGGCAAUUUGCCAUAACGCACCCACCUUCGUCUUUCUUGGAUUUCGCAUCUUGGUUUUACAUCUCUAUCUGCCAUAUCCGCCAAACUCGCCUCCUUUAAUGUCGCAAAUCAACUUCUGGAAGUAGAUUGUCGAUCAUGUCGUCGUCAUUUUUGCUGUAGAAUCUUCCUGUCGAUCUGGAAGGAUCGAAUAACCAACCGGAAUAAAGAGAAGGGAUGAGUGAAAGGUGAGCAGCGCCAUCCAAAAAGAAUAUUCUCCGGGGAGACGAGAGAAAGAAUGAGAGAGAAGAUGAGGAGACAGGAUGAACAGAUUUCAAU
Molecule: long non-coding RNA, 916 nt
Filed under: Linum usitatissimum (flax)
Lineage: Eukaryota; Viridiplantae; Streptophyta; Magnoliopsida; Malpighiales; Linaceae
Description: long non-coding RNA (LUSI_LNC002759)
Source: RNAcentral